This 73-nucleotide transfer RNA is filed under the name Camelus bactrianus (Bactrian camel). It matches the Rfam family "tRNA". Rfam says of the family: Transfer RNA (tRNA) molecules are approximately 80 nucleotides in length. Their secondary structure includes four short double-helical elements and three loops (D, anti-codon, and T loops). RNAcentral also lists the same sequence under 2 other names. Lineage: Eukaryota; Metazoa; Chordata; Mammalia; Artiodactyla; Camelidae. The record is from Rfam by way of RNAcentral.
GAGGGUAUAGCUUAAGUGGCAGAGCACAUGCCUAGCAUGCCUGAGGUCCUGGUUUCAUUCCCCAGUACCUCCA